GGUACGCGCCGUGCUUCGCAGGCAGAGGAACGGGGUGGCAUGUGGUACAUGUUGGGGCUUCACAGUGGAUGCGGGUUUGCUGUUACGCACUAAAAUGUUUGAAGAACGAGUGAAUGAAUACACUUUCAGCACUUCUUCCCCUCCAUACACGUGCAGCAUCAGGAUCCUUUCAUUUUCCUUCCCAGCAUGUGUCUGAGAAUCUGAUGUCUCCUCCACUUCCCGGUGGAACCUUGAACCCCCCAUACCUUCCUGGUCCUUAGCAUUCCUCAAGUAGGAAGGUGUAAUGGUCCUUUGACCUUCCUCCAAAAAAGGUGAGUGGGGA
Manis pentadactyla (Chinese pangolin) is the source of this 322-nucleotide long non-coding RNA. RefSeq lists it as uncharacterized. Lineage: Eukaryota; Metazoa; Chordata; Mammalia; Pholidota; Manidae. The transcript is spliced from 3 exons. The record is from RefSeq and is a predicted model, not a curated record.